Molecule: unclassified non-coding RNA, 705 nt
Filed under: uncultured bacterium
Lineage: Bacteria
Description: partial contains 16S ribosomal RNA, 16S-23S ribosomal RNA intergenic spacer, and 23S ribosomal RNA
Rfam family: Bacterial small subunit ribosomal RNA (bases 1-193)
Source: RNAcentral
CCUCUAUAGCAGCAGCCGCGGUAAUACGUUCCCGGGCCUUGUACUUACAGCCCGUCACAUCACGAAAGUCGGUUGCACUAGAAGUCGGUGGGCCAACCCGCAAGGGAGGCAGCCCCCUAAAGUGUGAUCGGUAAUUGGGGUGAAGUCGUAACAAGGUAGCUGUAGGAGAACCUGCGGCUGGAUCACCUCCUUUCUAAGGAGCAUUCUCCGCCUCGGAUCCAAACGAGGUCGUGAAGGCGACACCGUCUAGGUGUCGACCGAGUUUGCCCUAGGUCGACAGGAAUCGCCGUACGUUGACCUGCUUGUAUUUCCUGUUCAGUUUUCAGAGAGCCGCCCCUCCGCGCUCUAUGACAAUCGAACGCUGCGGAAAUGAAGGUGGCUGGCGAAUCGGCUAUCGAUCGACGCGCUGCUCCAGGGUAAGCGGGCCUAUAGCUCAGUUGGUUAGAGCGCACGCCUGAUAAGCGUGAGGUCGGUAGUUCAAAUCUACCUAGGCCCACCAUUCCGGCUGACUCCGGAAUUGAAAAUUGCGCAUCUGAAAAUUGAAAAUCCGCCGGAGCGCAUUUUCAAUUUUCAAUUCUCAAUUUUCGAUCCGGACCGGGGCUGUAGCUCAGCUGGGAGAGCACCUGCUUUGCAAGCAGGGGGUCGUCGGUUCGAUCCCGAUCAGCUCCACCAAUUUCCCUUCCGUUCGCGAGCAUCUGCGGUGAG